This 253-nucleotide ribosomal RNA is filed under the name uncultured bacterium. RNAcentral's name for it is "partial 16S ribosomal RNA". It matches the Rfam family "Bacterial small subunit ribosomal RNA", at positions 524 to 776 of the family's 1533-position model. The record is from RNAcentral.
UACGUGAGGGGCGAACGUUGUUCGGUGUCACUGGGCUUAAAGGAUGCGUAGGUGGUUGCGUAAGUAAGGUGUGAAAGCCCUCGGCUUACCCGGGGAAUUGCGCCUUAUACUGCGUGGCUUGAGGAUUUCAGGGGAAUGGGGAACUCCAGGUGUAGCGGUGAAAUGCGCAGAUAUCUGGGGGAAGGCCGGCGGCGAAGGCGCCAUUCUGGGAAAUUCCUGACACUGAGGCACGAAAGCGUGGGGAGCAAACAGG